RNAcentral lists this ribosomal RNA (331 nucleotides) under Hemicriconemoides californianus. RNAcentral's name for it is "eukaryotic LSU rRNA". The record is from RNAcentral. Lineage: Eukaryota; Metazoa; Nematoda; Chromadorea; Rhabditida; Criconematidae.
AAAGUUGAAAAGCACUUUGAAGAGAGAGUUAAAGAGGACGUGAAACCGGUAGGAUGGAAACGGAAUGAGCUAGCGAAGUCGCUUGCAUUCAGCCAAAGGCCCGUGGUGGCCGGUCGUCGGGUUGCUAAUCACGCCAGGCGGUCGUCCGGCUGUGGGCUGAGGUGCAUUUGCGGGCGAAUGCGCUGAGACUUGUGGGGCAGCUGCUGGACCCUUGUUCUAGAGGCCGUCUUCUGGACGGAACCUGGUCUUGGUUACGGCUGUUUGUCCUGCUCGUAGUUUUGUGCGGUCAACGUUGCUCGUUCUGCUGGCUUGUGGCGGUGGUAUCGCAUGC